CGGCUUGCUUGUUACUCAGUGCCUAACUAGGUCAUGGGAUGUUCUUUUUCUUCCAGAUCCGCAGCACAUGGUUUAUGCUAAGCUAGCUCUCCUCCUACGAACGACCAUGGCAUUAAAAACAGCGCCCGAACAUUUCCUUUGGACCUCGGAAAAUUGUUUUCAACCUCGCUAGGAUUUCAUCUACCUUACAGGGAGUUUGCCAGGAUCCGUUUUGCCUCAGCUGGAGACUUGGUUGGAUUUGUGUUCUCUUCCUGUUUUUGACACAGUAUAACUAAAAACUGUGUAUGGGCUGGACUCAAGUUUCUCUGGAAAAAAAAU
This is a long non-coding RNA of Austrofundulus limnaeus, 318 nucleotides long. RefSeq lists it as uncharacterized. The transcript has 2 exons. Lineage: Eukaryota; Metazoa; Chordata; Actinopteri; Cyprinodontiformes; Rivulidae. The record is from RefSeq and is a predicted model, not a curated record.